This 504-nucleotide ribosomal RNA is filed under the name uncultured beta proteobacterium. RNAcentral's name for it is "bacterial SSU rRNA". It matches the Rfam family "Bacterial small subunit ribosomal RNA", at positions 982 to 1490 of the family's 1533-position model. Lineage: Bacteria; Pseudomonadati; Pseudomonadota; Betaproteobacteria. The record is from RNAcentral.
UGACAUGUCAGAGAUCCCGCAGAGAUGUGGGAGUGCUCGAAAGAGAAUCUGAACACAGGUGCUGCAUGGCCGUCGUCAGCUCGUGUCGUGAGAUGUUGGGUUAAGUCCCGCAACGAGCGCAACCCUUAUCAUUAGUUGCUACGCAAGGGCACUCUAAUGAGACUGCCGGUGACAAACCGGAGGAAGGUGGGGAUGACGUCAGGUCAUCAUGGCCCUUAUGGGUAGGGCUACACACGUCAUACAAUGGCCGGUACAGAGGGCUGCCAACCCGCGAGGGGGAGCUAAUCUCAGAAAACCGGUCGUAGUCCGGAUCGCAGUCUGCAACUCGACUGCGUGAAGUCGGAAUCGCUAGUAAUCGCGGAUUAGCUUGCCGCGGUGAAUACGUUCCCGGGUCUUGUACACACCGCCCGUCACACCAUGGGAGCGGGUUCUGCCAGAAGUAGUUAGCCUAACCGCAAGGAGGGCGAUUACCACGGCAGGGUUCGUGACUGGGGUGAAGUCGUA